RNAcentral lists this ribosomal RNA (460 nucleotides) under uncultured bacterium. RNAcentral describes it as "partial 16S ribosomal RNA". It matches the Rfam family "Bacterial small subunit ribosomal RNA", at positions 338 to 795 of the family's 1533-position model. The record is from RNAcentral.
CCUACGGGUGGCAGCAGUGAGGAAUAUUGGUCAAUGGACGCAAGUCUGAACCAGCCAUGCCGCGUGCAGGAAGACGGCCCUAUGAGUUGUAAACUGCUUCUGUACGAGAGUAAAGGCAGAUACGUGUUCCUGUCUGAAAGUACCGUACGAAUAAGGAUCGGCUAACUCCGUGCCAGCAGCCGCGGUAAUACGGAGGAUCCAAGCGUUACCCGGAUUUAUUGGGUUUAAAGGGAGCGUAGGUGGUAGGGUAAGUUAGAGGUGAAAUCCCGGGGCUCAACUUCGGAAUUGCCUUUGAUACUGUUCGGCUAGAGAGUAGUUGCGGUAGGCGGAAUGUAUGGUGUAGCAGUGAAAUGCUUAGAGAUCAGACAGAACACCGAUUGCGAAGGCAGCUUACCAAGCUACUUCUGACGUUGAGGCACGAAAGCGUGGGGAGCAAACAGGAUUAGAUACCCCUGUAGUC